UGAAUGAAAAAUAAAAAAAGAAUCAUCUCAGAUCUCAUCUCCUAGAAGUCUAGCUUAAUCUCUGUUUGCUAGAACACUCUUCCAAAAGUUAAUUUUUCUAUAUAUUUUGUAUUGAAUUUUCUGUAUAUACAUUGUUUUCCUGCAAUAGAAUGUCAGUUCCCUGAAGACAGCGACCAUUUGGGGUUUUGUCUGCAUAUUCCAGAGUAUAACACGGUACCUGACAAAUGGCAUGGCACCAGAGGAUACACCAUACACUUGGGAGUAGAGUGGGGCAGGGAUUCUCUGGCAGGUAUAGCUAGAAGAGACUGUGAACAGAGACUAUUAUACAUACUCCUUAAGAUCAAGGAAAGGAAUGUUUGAAAGUCCUCUAUUUCACUGAAUAUCCAUUUCUCCCCCUGAAGGAUCAUGCUCAGUUUUUCUGGGUAAGUGUUUCUUGGUUGAAGUCCUAGCUCCUUUGCCCUCUGGAAUAUUAUAUCUUAGGCCCUCUGAUCUUAUCCUUUAAUGUAGAAACUGUUAAGUCUUGUGUUAUCCUGACUGAAGCUUCAUGAUAUUUGAAUUAUUUCUUUUUGACUACUUGCAGUAUUUUACACAUGACCUGAGAGUUUUGGAAUUUGGCUAUAAUAUUCCUGAGAGUUAUUCUUUCGGGAUUUCUUUCAGGGGGUGAUCAGUAGAUUCUUUCAAUUUCAAUUUUGUCCUCUGUUUCUAGAAUAUCAGGACAUAUUUCCUUUUGAGAAGAUGUUUAAGCUCUUGUUUUGAUCAUGGCUUUCAGGUAGUCCAAUAAUUCUUAAAUUAUUUCUCCUAGAUUUAUUUUCCAGAUCAGUUGUUUUUUUCAUGAGUAUUUCACAUUUUGUUCUAUUUUUUCAUUCUUUUGACUUUGAUUGUUUUUUGAUGUCUUGUGGAGUCAUUAGCUUCCACUUGCCAAAUUUUAAUUUUUAAGAAAUUAUUUUCUUGAGUGAGCUUUUGUUCCUCCUUUUCCAUUUGACCAAUUCGACUUUGUAAAGAGUUUUUUUCCUCAGUGAAUUUUUUUGUACUUCUUUUUCCAAAGGGCCAAUUCUGUCUUUCAAGAAGUUUUUCUCUUCUAUGCAUUUCUUUUUUAUACCUUUUUCCAUUUGGUCAGUUCUGCUUUUUUAAAAACUCUUUCCCUUCUGUCUUGGAAUUAAUACUGUGUAUUGGCUCCGAUGCAGAAGAGUGGUAAGGGCUAGGCAAUGGGGGUC
RNAcentral lists this long non-coding RNA (1214 nucleotides) under Monodelphis domestica (gray short-tailed opossum). RNAcentral describes it as "lncRNA (ENSMODG00000046004.1)". The record is from RNAcentral. Lineage: Eukaryota; Metazoa; Chordata; Mammalia; Didelphimorphia; Didelphidae.